CAAAAAAAAUGGGGUUUAAGGGCUGCAUUAAGCCUGCAGUCAAAGUAGCAGUGGUGGGAGCACCGUGGCUUUCCUCCCUUAGCUGGGCUGCCUGGUUUGUUACCCCAAUGGAGAGCCUCGAACCAGUCUGAGCUGCGAGCUGGAGCUGGUGUUGCUGCUGCCUGGUGGCUUUGAGAGACUUAUUGAUGGAUCUGAAGCCGUACACGAUGUUCAUAAGACUCUCACAGAGCUUUCCAGAAGUGGAAAUAAAACUGAGCAAAAUGCAGCCAACGCACCAGAAAUAAAGCAAAUACGAGGUGUUCAGGAAGGCAGAAAGCGCCUGCAAAUUUGGGUUGAGUUUAUCACUUGGGGCACCCAACCCCUUCUGCUGGCCGAAGCUCAGCAGCUUUGUGCAGCCCCGGGCCAGGAGCCCCCAGCGUUAUUUGGGGCACUGCCUUGGGGUAAAGCAGGGCAGGGGAAUCGGCCUCCUGAAGCUGCUGCUGCUGGGGGCCAGGGGCUGCCCCCGUGCUUACCACUCACCCCGCAGGGCUGCGGUGCCCUUGCACACAAAGUCUAAGGCGUUUGCGAUCUGUUGAUGGAGAACAAAGUCUCUUUUUAUAGUCGUUUCAUUAUGAUGCUUAAUUCCUUCUGCAGAAGCAAUUACGUUCUAUGGGCGGAAAGCAAUAUCGGAGACUUAUUAUUGUUAUUGCCAUCCCACCCGCUCCCUGGCUGGCGGCUGCCUGUGCCCGCAUGCUCGUGGUGCCGCAGGAAUGACAAUCAGUGCAUGGGGCCCUGCCUGCACCCUGACAGAUAACCAGCCGCAAGCCCAGGGCGAGCCCCGUGCACCCAGCAAGCACUCACCUGGGAGGAGCAGAUCGCAUCCGACAGCAGCUUGACAGGGGCUGAUCAAACAUUUGGCGACCUCUGGGAAAGGGAAAAGAUUGGUAACACGCCCCUUGGCUGCGCUCACUUCUUUGUUCCUUGUUUUCCUUACCAAGUUCUCUAGUUAUUCAGGAAAUACAUCAGUAAAUGUAGCAUGCAUGGUUUUGGCUUUGUUUUUUAUUUCUUCACCUAACAAAAGGAAUUAACACCAAUACGUUUUGUUUUCUAUGUCUCCUAGGCUAAAUAAAGUGACCUUUUCAUCUGGUUAAAUUAAUUGUGCAUGUCAAAGUUUUGCUCUGGCUGGUGGCCUGGUUUGUGUAGGUAUUGAGAUGAUCUAAAUAUAAACCAUCCAAACCAAUUGGGCACCUUGCCACUAUCAAAUGUGAGUUUGUUCUGAAGAUUAGUCUGCUUAACAAUGUUUUCUCCAUAAUUAAGUGAUCUUGGUACUGUUUUCCUUCGGAUACGUUUUGAUGGUGCCUUGCACUUCCUUUUGCUCUUGCAGACUUGCAGCUUGGUGGAACAACAUUACUGUUUUGCAGCUCCCGUUUCUCGGGAGGGAUUGUUAACUCCUGAUGUGCAUGGCCAUGUGUUGGCGGUACCAGGAAGGGUCAGAGUUCCCAACUGCACGAGCAGAGGUGGCAGCACCCCGGGGCUGCUCUCCCUGCCCAGCUCCAGCCCCAGCAUUUUCCACUGGGCAGGAUCUGGCCCGGGUGCAAUGGGGCGUGCUGGGGUCCCUCUGCACACAGCGCCUGCGUGGCUGUCUUUUACAGAGCAGCACAAGCCUGAAAUGUACUGGAAAUAAUUCUUGUAUUGAGCGCAUUCAUCUCUGUUUGUUUG
This is a long non-coding RNA of Anas platyrhynchos (mallard), 1698 nucleotides long. RefSeq lists it as uncharacterized. The record is from RefSeq and is a predicted model, not a curated record. Lineage: Eukaryota; Metazoa; Chordata; Aves; Anseriformes; Anatidae.